This 59-nucleotide transfer RNA is filed under the name Chlorocebus sabaeus (green monkey). It matches the Rfam family "tRNA". Rfam says of the family: Transfer RNA (tRNA) molecules are approximately 80 nucleotides in length. Their secondary structure includes four short double-helical elements and three loops (D, anti-codon, and T loops). Lineage: Eukaryota; Metazoa; Chordata; Mammalia; Primates; Cercopithecidae. The record is from Rfam by way of RNAcentral.
GUUUUCAUGGUGUAAUGGUGAGCACUCUGGACUUUGAAUCCAGAAAUACGAUCAAAGCA